UGCCCUUUCGCGGCUUCGCUCACAUCAAUCAUCUCUCACCAUAUGCUUUACUCUAGCCAUUAGUAUUUAUCUAGCUUUUAACGUCGUCUAAAUAUAUAUAUAUAUAUAUGUAUAUACGAGUCAAUGUGUCCGCGUGUGUCAUCUGACGACAGCGUUUGCGCACGCUCUCUAUGUGGGCGGUUUAGUUUGAUCGUCGCUCAUGCAACAAGUUUCACUUUGUCGCGUACUCGGAAAGUCGAGAAGUAGCGUCCGUCCCGAAGUCGAGCGGCGUUUUGAACUUUGUUUUUGUGUGCCUUCGUCCGCGCAAGGUUCGACGCCUGUCAGCUGCCUAUGAGGGAUGAGCAAGCACGCGAAGCCUUGGCUUCUCCAAGGUCCAAUGUUAAGACCCUCCGGGAGCUGUUCAAUGACAAGGAUGCCAAAUCUACACCGCAUGCUACCUCUGUCAAGAGGCCAACUGAGGUUCGGAUUCCUCGCCCAAGUCUUGCACCAAAACCGCCCAACAACCGCAACUGUUCUUUAGGCUCUGUGAAGGAAACAUCCAGCCCUUUUGGUGGUUUCCCGGAAAGCCGGAGAGCAUCCUUCACCAGGGGAGCCUCGUUUGAACAUGUCGGAGUGCUAUCGGGGGUUGAGCCAUCACAGCAAAUGCCAUCUGGAGCUGCACCACCACAACAGGCACUAUCAGGAGCUGUAUCAUCACAACAAUUGCCAGUAGGGGCCGUCCCAUUGCAAGCGCCACCAAGGGCUGUGCCAUCACAACAAGCCUCACCAAGGGCCGUGUCCUCCUCUGACUUCCGCAAAGACUCUUUGCUGCCCAGGGCUGUAGGAGACCACCCUGCCUCUGCGUCUUGUGAGGCUGUGUGUGAAGAAGAGGAGGACUACGUGACACCAAUUACCCUGUCAAAGCCACCAGAGCAUCCUCGUAGAGAGACUGUAGCAUCGUCGCAACCGAAGCACGAGGAAUCGUGCCUGCCAAACCCUGUGGAGGGUUCUUCGCAGAGGACAAAGCCAAAGCUACCCGAGCCCCCUCUGUAUGUGCCAGCGCAGUUUAUGCACCACCCUGUGGCGUCUGGCUGGCUGCGGCGAACACUGCCUGCUGCUACUGCUUGCCCUUCAAAGCCAGCGAGGCCCUCUGGAAUGUGCUUGCCGGUCCACUCUAGUCUACAUCUUGCACACAGCGCAGCCCAGCCAGACAGGCCUUCGUUUGCCUCAAAAAAGCUGUUUGUUGGAGUGCUUUCUGCCGGCCACCCCUGCUUUGGAAAAUGGAAGGUGCUCGGCACCUUUGAGAAUAGACUGCUUGAGAAACAAUGCCGUGUGUCGCAAUCUCGCCGCUUCGGAGACCGGUCACUCAUGUGCCCUGCCGAAGCACUCCUCCUCCUCCUGCUCCACCUACACGAGCCCCACCGCCUCGUCCUUUGGUGCCUAAACCUCUGCGUAUGCUUCCAUCAUUGCCCAUUGCUGCACCAGCAGACGAUGCGUGCUCAGAACCCAGACAGACUACAUCUCCCAUCCCUGAGUAUACGGAGGACGAAGAGCUGGGCAGCCAGGCAGCUGAUGACGAGCCGUAUGCAGACACUGAAGUCAAUGACGAGACACUGCCCCCUCAAGACGACGUGCUUUACGACGAUACUCUGGAAGAUUUCUAUGAGGAAAUGCCCACAGAGGAAAUUGCACCUCCACUGAAGGCACUGGUGCCCAAGAUGGACAAAGAGAAGCAUGACAACAUGUGCAAGAAAUUUGGGCUUCCAAGUGGCUGGCAGCAGCUGCAGCCCGUGGAUGCCGGUUAUGCAAGAAGUAGCAGCACUGGUGGUGGCACCAAGAACCUCGACCUUCCACUGCAGCGUGGCGAGCCUGUGUAUGUGCUUCGAUUUGAGAACAACCCUCCGGGCAAGUGGCUCGUUCGGAACCACCAAGGAGAAGUGGGCUAUGCUGACCUGAUGAACAUAGAGGUAGAUGCUGAAUCCAUCAAAUUUAUUAUGACAAUGCACAGGAGCCCAUGUACAAGUAUGAAGAAGCAGCAAACAAGUGCUAUGGAGUCUGAAGAUGAAGAAGCCAUCUAUGAAGAAACCUUCUAGGCAAUGGAGGCCACUUCACCUGCUGUCUUACAAAAGGAUAAAUAGUAGAUGUGCCUUGUGUCAAAAUAUGAAGUGUUUUACCUACAAUUUCAUCCUGUCUUUUAUUAACUGCUGACACAAAGGUCGAGAGUUUGAUCAAGGUCGGGACUAUUGCAUUUCAGUGGAGGCGAAAUGGUGAGGGCUUGUGUACGGUGAAGCAUCAGUGCUUGUUAAAAGAACACCAGAUGGCCAAAAUUUGCGGAGCCUUUGCUACAGCGUCUCUCAUAAUCACAUAGUGGUUAUGGGAUGUGAAACCGCACAUGUCUUUAUUAUUGUCUUCCCUAUGAGCCUAUUGUUGAGUAAAUUAUGUACUUGGGGACAGAAGAGAGACUGUAGUGCAUGAGCAAUGGGAAGGACCUCGAGCAGCACAUUUUGCGGGUGCAAGUAAGGCCUGCUGGUGUAGGUUUCGGGUGCUCUGUGUGCGCACGUGCCCAAAUUUUGAAAAAGCUUUGGGGAAUGUUUCUGCCCGUAGUUUCAUUUCCGACACUGGACAAGUGCCAAUCGCACUAUUUACAAAUAUACCACCUACGCCGGGGUAUGUGGCCGCAUUGCAAAAAACAAAGAAAGGCUCUAUAUCCCUGUGUUUACAGUUCAUAAAAGCCAACUUCACUCCGCUAUUGCCUGAUGCACAUAGAUUUGGCAACACUUAAAAUCUGGAUUGACAAAGCCUUUCCAAGGUAACGUCCAUGUGCAGUGUCAAUACACACUGAUCUCUAGGGUUUAUAGUAUAACCCUAAGUCCGAGCUUGUAAUCUCAUUCUGUUUAUUCCUGAGGUGCAACUUGGACAACUACAUGUUAUGUGGACACGAGCUGUGCAUUGUGCAGCGUUGCGUUGUGCUCAUUGUGCAGUAUAGAAAAACCACUCGGGUACGGUGGCAUCUUCACAAAUCGCAAUGUGCGCUGCUUUGACUGCUUAGAAGGACUACGUUUGCACCAUGUUAUGCAACGAAUUUCUUGAUAAAGACUGCUCACAGGGCAAAUUUUAUUUGAAGCAGCAGAGCUCAGUUUCGCUUUCAAUUUAUUCAGAAUGUAAAAAAUGCAACAUUGGCAAAGCACUAAAAAAAGUGGCAAGCUGAGGAAGUGCUGAGGACCACAGUCUAUACUUUUUAUAAUUGCUUAUUUCAAUUCAUAUGUUUAAGAACAUCACACUGUUGAGGCACGAAAUUACAGUAAAUGAAGCAAGAAUGCUGGCACUGAAAGUAAAAGAAGAAAUACUGAAAAACUGCUUCGGAAAACGGAAAGCUAUGAAUGACACUAUUUCUCACGUUGAAAACUCUGUGCAAUGCCAGUAAACGAACGCAGCAAGCUAUUGUAAAGAACAGAGCAAAGGGAUGUAAUAAAAAGAAGACAUUGGCUUUUUGGUUGGCAUGAAGUAAAUAGAAACAGAAGAAAAGCACUUUAAACACUUUUUUUAACAAUUGCAAACAAGAAAAGAAUUCAAAGCACCUAAAUAAACUAGCAUGGACCUAAAAAAA
This 3586-nucleotide unclassified non-coding RNA is filed under the name Rhipicephalus microplus (southern cattle tick). Its description in RNAcentral is "pollen-specific leucine-rich repeat extensin-like protein 1, transcript variant X3". The record is from RNAcentral. Lineage: Eukaryota; Metazoa; Arthropoda; Arachnida; Ixodida; Ixodidae.